UGGGGAAUCUUCCACAAUGGACGAAAGUCUGAUGGAGCAACGCCGCGUGAGUGAUGAAGGCUUUCGGGUCGUAAAACUCUGUCUUCGGGGACGAAUGUACGAAUUGUGAAUAAUGAGUCGUAAUGACGGUACCCGAGGAGGAAGCCACGGCUAACUACGUGCCAGCAGCCGCGGUAAUACGUAGGUGGCAAGCGUUAUCCGGAAUUAUUGGGCGUAAAGCGCGCGCAGGCGGGAAUAUGAGUCUAUCUUCAAAGUGCGGAGCUCAACUCCGUGAUGGGGUAGAAACUGUAUUUCUUGAGUGCAGGAGAGGAAAGUGGAAUUCCCAGUGUAGCGGUGAAAUGCGUAGAGAUUGGGAGGAACACCAGUGGCGAAGGCGACUUUCUGGACUGUGUCUGACGCUGAGGCGCGAAAGCUAGGGGAGUGAACGGG
This 429-nucleotide ribosomal RNA is filed under the name uncultured bacterium. RNAcentral's name for it is "bacterial SSU rRNA". It matches the Rfam family "Bacterial small subunit ribosomal RNA", at positions 355 to 776 of the family's 1533-position model. The record is from RNAcentral.